AGAUAUUACAUACAUGCUUACACACAGUAUUUGUCUUCUCUCAUCCACCGCCACCGCCACCACCACCGCCUCAUCUUUUGCAUGGAAAAGGUGUUCUCUUUUGCCUUCUCUAUGUGAUCGGCGGAGCGCCUAAAGGAGAAAAGACAAGGGCGAGUGCCGGAUACCUGCACCGUUUCUCGGGGGCUGCCCCGGAUAUCUAGUUUCGUGUCUAGGGUUCUUUGUUAUUGUUCCAUUGGUAUUUUUUGCUAAUCAUAGGGAAACGGGGACGGGAAUUGGAGGGGCAUGGCUCCAGGGCGCAAGCGUGGAGCGAAAGGGGUUAAGACGAAGAGCGAGUUGAGUUUGGGCGAUCUCGUUUUGGCCAAGGUCAAGGGUUUUCCUGCUUGGCCUGCCAAGAUUAGCAGACCAGAAGACUGGGAGCGUGCGCCUGACCCUAAAAAGUACUUCGUCCAGUUCUUUGGGACAUCAGAGAUAGCUUUUGUUGCUCCUGCGGAUAUUCAGGCAUUCACCAUUGAAGCAAAAAAUAAAUUGUCCGCUAGAUGCCAGGGUAAGACAGUCAAAUAUUUUGCUCAAGCGGUGAAGGAAAUUUGUGAAGAAUUUGAAGAGUUGCAGCUCAGAAAUUUAAAUGGGGUGAGAGAUAAAAGUGCACUGUCUCUUGCGUCUGAGGCACAUUCUCUUGAUCCUGUGGUAGAUGAGGCCUCAGGGAUUAAUGGAAAUGAUGGAAGUGACAGGAAAGUAUCAAACUGUAAGUUGGAGAUCAAGGGGUCUACGGACGUGGGCGCUGCUUUAGAGCGGUGUUCACAAAGACAGGGUGAGGUGGAAUGUCAAGAUGUAAAGCCUUGCUUGUCAGAUGACGUGAAUCAUAGUUUGUCUCCACAUGUAUCUUCAGAAAAGAGGAGCAAGCCCUAUACAAAUACUAGUGAUCUAGUAAUGGAUUCAGUACCAUUAUCUAGCCCAUCGCAUGAUUCCCUUGUUAAUGAGGAUGAUUCUCAUGAUAUCAAAGUGGCGGGUAGGUCUUCUGAUGAUGACCAUAAUAAAUUGACAAAUGGCCUUAAAACUAAGCUGGCAAUUGGAUCUAAGAAGAAACCUGCGGGUGCAAUACGUAGGAAUAGUGGCUUAGCUGUUCCUCAUGAUCGUACUGGAGAAAUGAUUCAAAGAAAAUGUGUUUCUGGUGGCAGCAUGAAGGUCUCAUCUGCUGGUAAUUCAAGAUCAGGUUUAGAUAUUGGCAGUGAAAGGAAGGAAAAAAAGUUGCUGAAAGUUAAAAGGCGUUCUGAGACAGAAGAUAAUGGUCGAGAGGAUGCUGAAGUAAGUUUUGAGGAGCAUAAUAAAGCUAUCUCCAGGAAAAAGAUAAAGGCCCAGCAUGGCCGUGAAAAACAAAGGUUUCAGACAAAUGAAGCCUCACCUCCAGGCAAAAUGUCAAAAUGUGCUGAUACUGGAGAUGGCGCUAGCAUGAUAAGAGCACGAAUAAGCAAGAAAAGGGAUUCUACUAGCCCUGAUGUUCUUGAUGACAAAAUUACUGGUAUAGAGUCUAAAAGGCUAACAUCAGGUGGGAAGGCUGAGAAUAGCCGACUCCUCAGGCUGCAGAUGAGUACAAAUGACCCCAAGUUUUCCAGUGAUGAAGAUGAUCUACCCCCAAUAAAGCGCCGGCGCCGAGUAUCAGAAGCAAUGUCUAGUUCUGCUUCAAUUUCUGAAAAUAGAUUGGGAGGUUCCGCAUCUCGGCAAAGUGAUAUGGUACUUCCUAACAAAGUCCGGUCCCCAGUUAUGCAGUUACCAACAAAGAGGAGAGCUGUCCGCCUAUUUGAUGAUGAGGAUGAUGAAUCACCUAAAACCCCAAUUCAUGGAGGAUUUACAAAUAAGGUUUCUGUUAUUCCACAGGUGUCAGAUUCAAGAAAGAAGCCUGUAAUGCAUAGUGAAAGUUGUGUCUAUGAUCAAGGGGUCUCAAAAAAUUCAGGACCAGUUGAUGAUGGGAUAAAAGAACAGGUACAAUCUGGUCAUAUGUCCAAUAAAGUGUUAUCCCCAGCAACUCAGCAAGAUACAGAGAAGAGGACUAGAGAAUUAUCAGCUGCACAUGUAAUUCCUAGUCCACUGCAGGACACUGAGAAAUUGCCCUCUAUGGAGGCUAAACCAGUUCAAAUUUCUCCUAAAAGGUCCCCUUAUUCUAUUGGUGGUACCAGGCUGUCAGCAGAAGUGCACAGCAAGCACUCCAGCAAGGCACCUGCUAAUAUUUCUCAGAAGAAAACUCCAGCGGGAGACAGCAGAAGUGCUUCAGCUUCUGAUAGAUCAACUUCAUUUCUCGCUCAAUCACUAGGUGACCGAAGCAAGCCAGCUUCUUCUGGAGAUAAAAGUAAAGCUACUCCAAAGUCAGAUUUACGGAUCAAUGACUCUGUUGUUGUAGUCGGGCCUCCAAAUGAAAACCACACAUCGUUUGGUGAAAGGCUGGAUGGUGGUAAAGAUGGCAAAACAAGUUUUCUGGUUAAUUCGAAAAUUCCUGACUCGGUCAUGUCCAUGAAACAUCUUAUUGCUGCUGCUCAGGCAAAAAAAAGACAAGCACACUUGCAGAACUCUCAUGGAAAUCCUCUGCUUCUUUCAUUUCCUGAUGCUGACAUGUCUGCACGGAGCCCGAGCCCGCCCCCUGCUACACUAGCAUAUGAAUCAAGCAACACAGUCCAACCUGGUGUACAAGGAAUACAUUCAACUUCUCCAUGCGCUGAUGUUCACCAAUUUUCAUCUAUUAAUCAACAUGAGAAUGAAGAACUUGAGGAGAGGAGGGUGAGUUCAGGCAAUCUGGGUACUGGAAGUUCCCUAAGUGGGGGUACUGAGGCCGCUGUUGCUCGGGAUGCUUUUGAAGGGAUGAUAGAGACACUGUCAAGGACGAAAGAGAGUAUUGGUCGCGCAACUCGUCUUGCAAUUGAUUGUGCAAAGUAUGGUAUCGCCAAUGAGGUUGUGGAGCUUCUCAUCCAGAAGUUGGAAAAUGAGCCAAGUUUACAUCGCAGAGUGGACCUUUUUUUUCUAGUUGACUCGAUAACCCAGUGCUCACAUAGUCAGAGAGGAAUCGCAGGAGCCUCUUACAUUCCUAUUGUUCAAGCAGCAUUGCCCCGUCUCAUUGGAGCUGCUGCUCCUGCUGGUGCAGGUGCUCAAGAGAAUCGCCGUCAGUGUCAUAAGGUCUUGCGCCUGUGGCUUGAGAGGAAAAUCUUGCCAGAAUCUGUUCUUCGCCGUUACAUGGGUGAUAUAGGAGUUGUAAAUGAUGAUGCAUCUGUUGGGUUGUCGCUGAGACGUCCUUCUAGAGCUGAGCGGGCUAUUGAUGAUCCUAUCAGAGAAAUGGAGGGAAUGGUUGUUGACGAAUAUGGAAGUAAUGCUACGUUCCAGUUACCUGGAUUGCUGUCAGCUCACGUGUUUGAUGAAGAAGAGGAAUAUGAGGAUAGUUUUCCCACAAAGUUAUGCAAGGAAGAUAAUGAUACAUCACCUUCUGAACUUGCCCCUGCUACAAGCAGAGAUCCUGAGAAUCACAGUGUUACUCCAAGUGACAGACGACAUUGCAUUUUGGAGGAUGUUGAUGGUGAACUUGAAAUGGAAGAUGUUUCUGGGCACCAAAGGGACGAGAAACCACUGUUUACCAAUGGUUCUUUUGGGCUUGGUGUGCUUGAGCCAAAUUCAGAUGGGAUACUUGAAUCAGCCCCUAAUAACAUGUCUGCUGAGUGGAUGCCUUCGCCGGAGGGCUCUCCACCAUUGCCACCUGGAUCUCCGCCUGUAACUCCGCCUCUACCCACUUCGCCACCUCCAUUGUCACCACCACUCCCACCACCACCCCCACCUCCUUCACCACCACCACCACCGCCACCACCACCGCCACCGCCCCCAUCACAGCAUCAUCUAUUUUCUCGACCAGCUGUCUGUCCUCCUCCACCGCCUACUGGUCCUCCUCCGCAACCUGUUGGACCUCCGCCACAACCUGCUGCUCCACCACCCACUGGACCUAAUCCCCAAUCUGUUGGUCCUCCACCACCACCUGUUGGACCUAACCCACCACCUUUUGGUUCUACGCCGCCAGUUGGGCCUCCUCCACCAUUGCCUUCCCAGCAAUCAUUUCCGGCUCAGCCUCCAUUGAUGUCUCAACAUAUGCAUCCACUUCCAUCUGCGAUAUCACAUUCCCCACGAUCAACUUAUCCUCUACCUUCUUUACAGCAUGAGAUCGGCGCGACGGCCUCUGGAAAUCAGUGUUCCCAUGUGGUUUCCAAUGCUCGUGGGUCCCAUAUAGAUGCAUCUGCCAGAAAUGAAGUGUUGACGCAGCAAUCAUCUUGCUUUCCCCCUUCUGGGGUUGGUAUUGCACGAGAACAUGUUGGCUAUAAUUCAUCAAGGCAUGGAGACUAUAGACAAGGUGAGGCAUAUAUGAAUCCACAAGCUACACAACACAGGCCACCAUUUGUACCUGGUCAUGCACCUUUUGCACAAAGGCCUGUGCAUCCCGAACACCUACCUCAACGUGCACCUAGUCAUUUCUCCUAUCCAAACUCCGUCCAGCAACAUCAAUAUCCCCCUUACUCAUUGCAAAACUUUUCGGAUGGUCCCCGGCGAUAUGCUGCUAAUGAACAAACGCAAAUGCAAGUAAAUGAGUUUAAUGCGGAUUGUCCGCGUGGUGGGUGGAUACCAGGAGGGAGAUCAUGUUCCGGUCCACCUUAUUCGAAUGAAGCUGACCCUACAACAACUGGAACUUUAGUGAGUCAACGUAUUUUCAUGAGUAUUUAUAGUGUUAUCUAUUUGAAGGUUAUUUUGGACCUCCUCGUGAAAGACCUCCUGCAAGUGUUGUUAAUUUGCAGCCCUCUGCCCCAAAUAAUCUGCCUUCUGCUGCUCAAAUCCCAGUUCAUGGUGUUCCUAUGAUUCCCUGCAGACCAGACAUGCCUUCUGGCAAUUGGAGACCAGCAUAGAGUUAUUAUGAGAGGUCCAUGGUGUGCGAGGAGUUGGGUGCAAAUAGUGCUCCAAGAGAAAUAUUGUUUUAGAUCAGAAUGGAAUUAAAUUGGUGGGAAGUUCUGCAGACGCUUUGCAGGAUUGUAUAUUAGAAAUUGCCCUGACAAAUGCCUUCCUGGGCGCAUACUAAGUGUAAGCCCUCUUUGCUUAUUAUACCAAUGCUUGUAAUUAUACCGUAUAUCUCAUAAACCAGAAUUAGUGAGGACUACAGUUUAAAGCAUUGCUAAUACUAGCUUUCUUUUUGACUACUGCAUUUUUAAUUCUUCAAGCCGCCUCGAUAGUACAUGUUUACCUUUUUAGUGUACUCGUGCUGCCAAGUAAAGAGCAUGUUGAAACAUUUACUAUGUAAAUUUUGUCCCUGUUAGUUAUAACAUACAGUUACGAGAUAUGUUAUAAAUUUUGCUUUACUGAGAUUA
Non-coding RNA from Sesamum indicum (sesame), 5375 nucleotides. NCBI's taxonomy places the organism in Eukaryota, Viridiplantae, Streptophyta, Magnoliopsida, Lamiales, Pedaliaceae. The record is from RefSeq and is a predicted model, not a curated record.